Molecule: non-coding RNA, 210 nt
Organism: Pelobates cultripes (western spadefoot toad)
Lineage: Eukaryota; Metazoa; Chordata; Amphibia; Anura; Pelobatidae
Source: the annotation of a GenBank genome assembly
CUGUAAUCAGGACUGUGAGAGAUAAACUGAUGGAGAUUCAGUAAGCAUCACUGUAAAGUUGUACAAUUGUUGGUAUGUAAGCAGGAAUGGUACCAACAAAGGCACAAUGUGGUGCUGUGAAAGAGCUGUGACACUGAAGUCGAAGAAUGUACUGUUAAUGCUCUAAAAUAUUUGUUAUUAAAUAGUUGUUGCCUAAUAUCUGAAGUAAAC